AAUGAACGCUGGCGGCGUGCUCAACACAUGCAAGUCGAGCGAGGCCAGGGGGGCAACUCCCUGAGUCGAGCGGCGGACGGGUGAGUAACACGUGGGUAACCUACCCGGAAGUGGGGAAUACCUCGGGGAAACUCGAGCUAAUACCGCAUGACAUCUUUGGGACGAAAGUCCUGACGAUCAAAGCGGGGUCGCAAGAUCUCGCGCUACCGGAUGGGCCCGCGCCCGAUUAGCUAGUUGGUGAGGUAACGGCUCACCAAGGCGACGAUCGGUAACCGGCCUGAGAGGGCGAUCGGUCACACCGGAACUGAGACACGGUCCGGACUCCUACGGGAGGCAGCAGUGGGGAAUCUUGCGCAAUGGGCGAAAGCCUGACGCAGCAACGCCGCGUGGAGGAUGAAGGCCCUUGGGUUGUAAACUCCUGUCGGCUGGGAAGAAGUUGUUCGCGACUAAUACUCGCGGACAUUGACUGUACCAGCAAAGGAAG
RNAcentral lists this ribosomal RNA (484 nucleotides) under uncultured bacterium. Its description in RNAcentral is "bacterial SSU rRNA". It matches the Rfam family "Bacterial small subunit ribosomal RNA", at positions 29 to 490 of the family's 1533-position model. The record is from RNAcentral.